This 468-nucleotide ribosomal RNA is filed under the name uncultured bacterium. Its description in RNAcentral is "partial 16S ribosomal RNA". It matches the Rfam family "Bacterial small subunit ribosomal RNA", at positions 28 to 507 of the family's 1533-position model. The record is from RNAcentral.
GACGAACGCUGGCGGCGUGCUUAACACAUGCAAGUCGAACGGAAAGGCCCUGCUUUUGUGGGGUGCUCGAGUGGCGAACGGGUGAGUAACACGUGAGUAACCUGCCCUUGACUUUGGGAUAACUUCAGGAAACUGGGGCUAAUACCGGAUAGGAGCUCCUGCUGCAUGGUGGGGGUUGGAAAGUUUCGGCGGUUGGGGAUGGACUCGCGGCUUAUCAGCUUGUUGGUGGGGUAGUGGCUUACCAAGGCUUUGACGGGUAGCCGGCCUGAGAGGGUGACCGGCCACGGUGGGACUGAGUGACGGCUCGGAGUCAGCCGGGGGGGAGCAGUGGGGGAUAUGGCAGAAGGGGCGGAGGCCUGAUGCAGCAUCGCCGCGUGCGGGAGGACGGACUUCGGGUUGUAAAAAGCUUUCGCCUGUGACGAAGCGUGAGGGACGGUAAUGGGUAAAGAAGCACCGGCUAACUACGUG